ACAAGAUAUAUGUUAAUAUUAGUCCGAACAAAUAUUUGCACCCUAUCUAGGGCCAAUCUUAAUUUUUUCAAGGCCCUCUGAAUAUUAGUCAAGGAUUACCCUAUAUAGUUAUGAGUUAAAUGUGAAAAAAUUUGAAUUUUGUACGGCAGACUGUCUUGCAUGCUCUCAAAGACGAUUCUAACCUCUUAAUAAAGGAGAGUAUCACAUCAAAGUCGGGAUAAUUUCCAAUUUCGAGUAGUUUCGAAAUUUGUUGUCAUGCCUACAUCCAAAUCAAUGGAUAUACAUCCCUAAUUCUAGUCCACAAAUCAAAUCCAGUUAAUUCUAGUCCACUCUAAAAGGAUAGGGAAUUUGCCCCCACCAUCCAUAGCUGGCUUGAGCUUCCAAAGCAAUCAUGCACUCUAAUUAAAAGACAUAGUUACCCUUACUUUAACAACAAUUCAGGUAUACAAAACUGGCUACGUGUGUGGUCCAAAAUUUGAACUUGGUUAAAUAGAAUCUCAUAGAAUUUGUCAUAAUUAAGCUGUAAUUAAAUAAGAUUUUUAUUUAUUGUGACAGGGUUAAACUACCAUUAUUCUACACGGGGCCUACAAAAUCUGCCAACAAAAACUUACAUAAAUCAAUGCUAAAAAUAAAGAGUUUCAAAGCAUAUAUAUAUAUAUAUAUAUAUAUAUAUAUAUGAUGAAGGAGCAAAGAGUAAUUGUACCUAGUAUAAGGUAAGGGGCAAAAUAUGAUCAUAUAGUUAGCGGAGGCACACGUGAAUGUGCUNCCGAAGAGAGAUUCCGGUGGACGGUGGGUCUGCGUUCCACUUACAGUGUUCCUGGAUGGGAAUCUGUGUUUGAACUCAGAUUUUUCGGAGUAACGGAAGGCUGGUGUUCUCGGUGGCCGGUUUUCGCGGUGUCAAGAAGUUUGCCAGUUUCUUUCUUCUAGCUUCUCUGGCUUUGCCCGCAAGUUCUCUCUGGUUCAAUGCGUCAAAAUGGAAAAAUCAGCUGAGGCUUACCCGCAUAAAAACAAGUUAUGACAAGGAUUGUUAGAUAAUUGAAUAAACAAAAUUGUCCACAGAUAAAAUUUUGGUUGGCAGAGCAACCAAAAUUUCGAUAGAAUAAAAUUAAAAUAUGUAGUUUGCAAUUCCGGCAAGCGCCAAAAAACUUUGAUCGGAACAAAUAGCAAGUGUUACAUUUUCACCGAUGUAGUAAUAGCGGAGUUUUAUUCCCAAGUUAUCGAAUCUCGAGGAUUGCUAGGAAUUACUUAUUUCAAUUCGAUUCUUAUUCAAACAAAUAAGAUAAUAUGGUUGGUUUGUUUGGAAUUGCGGAAGAGUGACACGAAAGAUAGUAAAAAAAACUGAAUUAAGAUAAAAGAUGCUCAGGGUAAGCUGGUUGAGUUAGCCCGUUAUGAAUUUAUCCCGAUUCCUUAAUGCCUAUGAUAACAUUCAAGUCACCUACACCUCAGAAUGUUCUUUACUUAAGCGCUUAAGUGAGAAACUAUUUAAACUACCAAUUCUUACUCAAAAAUGUCCAUUUCAAUUAAAUCAUUGGUUUUUAAUCAUACAAUAUAUCAACGGUUUACGUAAUUUAUGAAAAGUUAACUAGUCCUAGAUGAUGCAUUCAUAAACCCAAUUGUGUGAAAACCCUACCAAAAUCACAGUCCUGUAGUUGGAAAAGUCAUAGAUUAAUUUGUAUUUGUCCCGAUACAAAAGCAUAAUAACAUCACACAAUUAAAUUGAAAACGACAUAAACAUAGUAAUCAAGGAAUCAUUGGUUCACAUUCAUAACAUACGAUAACAUCAAGGACCACCUUAGCAUCAGGGGGUUUAGCCUCUCAUAGUACUUAAAGAAUUCAUAAAGUAAAAUUAGACAUUACAAAGAAUUAGGAGAAUUUGAUCUUCAAUGGUGGCUACCGUUGAAUCUCGCCGUCUUCGAAUCCGUGUAUUCGCUAUCUCUCCACUGUAAUGCUUUCGUUCGUCUGUCCAAAGGUCCCUUUCUUCUCUCUUCCAAGCCUUCUUAUGUUUCAUAUGCCUCCUCCUCUAAGCAAAAGGUCCAUACUGCCCUUAUGAUCCAGAAUCGGUUCACAAGGAAAAAUUAGGUUUCCCAAGCUGCGUGCAAUCAACACGGCCGUGUGGUACACACGGGCGCCCGUGUUUUUUCUCCUGCAUUAAUAAUUUCAGCAUUUGUUACAGUAGCAAACAACACGGCCGUGUCCUACACAGCGGGUGCCCGUGUAGAUGCACUGUUUAUAUCAACACGGCCAGUGUGUGUACACACGGGUGCCCGUGUUGAUCCCUGUUUUCUGCUUCAUCUUUUUCUCUGCUUGACCAACAACACGGCCGUGUGGUGCAGCACGGUGGCCGUGUUGACCUGCUGUUCUGUCAUAUUUUCGUCCUUCAGAGUGUCCCGAACUUCACCAUUUCUUGCUUUUUAAACCUGGAACAAUGACACUACCCAAACGAAGCAUAAACAAGGUCUUUUUGACUUAAACUCGUAAUCGAUGUAAUGUAAUACCAAACCAACAAAACUUGAUACUUGACUCAAAUGCAACUAAAAACAAACAUAAAUCUUACCAGAGUGAUGAAAAUACGUCGGAUUAACGGCGGGAAUUCAUGGAAAUGGUGACCGAUCAGCAAGCUACUAUGAACUGAAUGGUGUUUUGCAAGUGUGGGUGGGGCAAUGAUGGAAAAGUAUAAUAGAUAUUGGGGGUGUGCUACUAGAGAUGAACAAGUUGAUUUAUUUUGGAAUCAUUUUGGAUCCAAGAUACAAGUUGAGUUAUAUUGAGUGGACUUUUAAGGAUAUGUAUGGAGUCGGAUCUGUGUUUGCUACCCGGGUUGAUCAAAUCUAUAAAGAGAGCUUACAAAAAUUGUAUGAUUGGUAUAAGCAAGCUUAUGACCAAAAUCAUAAUAGAUAACCUCUUGUAUGGUGAAAACAAUGUUUCCAAUGAUGAAACAACAGCUGGCCGUCCUUCACUAAUGGUAGAGCCGAUGCUUUUAAGCAACAUUUAGAGGAACAAGACUCGAUUGAUCAACAAAAUGAGCUUGAGGGUUUUUACUCUAGUAAGUGUGUCAAAAGGGAUCCUAAUUUGACCUUCUUGUGUGGUGGAAAACACAAUUCAACACAAUAAUCCUAUUUUAUCUACAAUAGCUAAAGAUAUUUUUGCCACACAGUGUCUACGGUGCAUCAGAAAGUGCCUUUAGUACGGGAGGGAGAGUCUUAGAAACUUAUAGGAGCUCCCUAAAACCUGAAAUGGCAGAGGCAUUAAUUUGCACCCAGAAUUGGUUAAAGCCGUCUUUUACCUAUUUCAAAGACUGAACUCAUGGAAGAUUUUGAGCUUUCUGAGAUAUUAUAGCAAGUAAAAUUAUUUUUAAAAAUGUUAUAUCUUUUUCAUAAUUGUUAUAUAUUUCUAAAAAAAUGUUUAUUUCAUUUUUUAGAAUUUGAAGAAAUUUCUUCUAUAGCAAGAAGAGGAUCUUUACCGUCUCAGCCACAACCUUCUGGUUGUGCUUGAAAAAAUAUGGAGGUAUAUUUACUUUAUUAAUUUGAUUUAUUUAUUACUUUAUUCCUUUUUAAAGCUUAAUAUUUUCUUGUUUAAUUUUUCAGUUCACUAUGUUUUUUGAAGUCAUAUGUGACUUAUAUUUUGUGACUACUCCAAUGGUCAAAUAAUAUAUAUUUUGUCCUGUGGAUUUUGAAGAUAUUCAAGCUAGCCAAAUUUUGGUAUGCAUCAAACAAUAUAUUAUUGUAUUAAUUAUCUAUGUGGUUUUUUAGUUGGAUUUACUACUAAUUAAUUAUGAAUUGAAGUUGGUAAUGUCAUGGUCGGUUGUCCAUUAGUUAAUGAAGUAUUGCUAAUUGUGUAAAUAGAACAUUUUGAGGCCAUGCAGGAACAAUUUGGAGCUAAGACAUUUUUGAUAUAUGUAGAACCUGUGUUUAGCAAAACAGGAAGAAACAAUUGGAGUAAACUAUAUGGGAAUGGAAUAACAGAUCAGGUAAAAAAUUGUUGUUUUGGUUUUUGAAAGUACUUAAUUAAGAUCUUGUUCUUCUUGUGAAGAGAAUAUUCAUAAUUUGAAAAAACGCAGGUGAGAAAAAAGAGAAAGAAUGGCUAGCCAAGGGAAGAAAUUGCAGUUCAGAAAGCUAAGGAAACAGAACUUAAAUAAACCAUUCACAUUCCAGGUUCGCUUAGUCAUUCACGCCAAAUCUUUUUUUUUGGUUCUUAAUGCUGUUGAAGGGUGCUUAAUUCUCUUUGGUUGCUGCACAUUUGUUUACUCAUUCUGGAAUAUGUCGUAGAAAUAAUAUUAUGGAAUUGCUUUGUUUUUGUUCUGUCAUAUCUAUGAGCCUCUUUUGCUUUCACUCAAGUCGUAUCUCACUAGAUGGGUUGAGCUACAUGGAUCUAAUGCCACCAUUAGGCUGUAUAAAAAACCAAUAAAUUCAUGUGUUGGUUUCUCGUAUAGUUUUCUUUGGUAUAAACAUGCACCAAAGAUAACACAUUCAGACCAGUCUAUUUGUGUUGGCAUAAAAAAACUGGCAUAUUGAACGUAAACUUUACGGAUACUGCUGUCAUUCUGGAAUCUUAGAUGAUUACAGCAUGUUUUGUUUUUCAUCAUGUGCAUGGUACUCUGAACAUUCUAUGAGUUACAUGUUCUGGCUUAUCUUUUUGGGGUAUUUCUCCAUUACAGGUUUGGCUCGAAUUGGAUCAAGACUGUCCGAGACUGAAGUGAAGCAACUUAUGGAGUUGUAAGUCGUUACAAAUCCGUUACAAAAGCAUAACUAGUUGAACGCAUGACUAUUAUCUUAAACUCAACAAGAAUUGUCUUACUUGUGAGUGAAAUAUGUUGCUUUCUAAUGGAGAAGACCAGACUCAGCUGCUGCCUUCAGAAACUGAAACUCAGGUUUGAAACUCUGAUUCAGUUGAAGGGUUAUUACCGGUUUCAAAAGUUUACACUGAUGUGGCUGUUGUUCCUGAGCAACAAAACAACGAGAUUCAACACUUGAUAUCCAAUUUACAAAGUAUAGAUAAUUAGAAAUCUUUUUUUCCUUUUUUGGUUUUUGUUGAAUUAAAUAUGUGAAAGUGAAAUAAAUGUUGCUGAUUUUGUUUUGUUUUAUCCAGGAGAGGUUGAGGAACUGAGGCUGAAGCAGAGAGUAGUGGAUGGAAAGAGGAGACAAGCAUUGAGUAAGAUAUUGGAUAUCAAAGGUAGAGUCUUAAUUAGGGUUUUCUAUUAUAAUGUUAAUAUGUUAUUUUUAUUAGAGGGUUGAAAAUUUUCAUUUUGUUAUUCAGGGAGCAUUAAGUGUUUUGUAGGAUUCGACCGAAUCUUUCGAAAGAGAAGAGAAAAUUAUGAACCUGUAUCAGCUGAAUCAGAGAGAGUUCGAGUUAAGUUUGGUGGGACAAGAAAGAGUUUGCGUUUGAUAAGGUUUUUCAUCAAGAUACAACUCAAGGUUAGUACUCUAUAAAUUCCAUUUUGUUGUGUUACUAAUUUUAAUUAUUUGAUAUUUGUACAAAUUUUACUGUGUUACCAUUGUAUGAACAUCUGUAGAAAGUGUUUUUGUUGAAGUGGAGCCAAUUCUAAGAUCUGCAAUGGACGGGCACAAUGUGUGCGUUUUCGCUUAUGGUUAAACCGCCACACAGGCAAGACAUUCACCAUGGUCAGUGAUGUCAAAAUUGUGUUCAUCUGCUAAUUAAUGUUAUCCAAUGUAUGUUUGUGGUUUCUGAUUGUAUAUGAUUAAUUUUAGGAUGGUACAAAUGAGCAGUUAGGAUUAUUCCUCGAGCUAUUGAAGAACUCUUUCGUCAAGCGUCAAUGGAUGCUUCGUCCUCUUUUACUUUUUCAAUGAGACAUCUGAAUGAACCAACCAUGUGCAGAUGUAAUAUGGACAGUCAACUGUUUGAUAUACUUUCAAAAGUUCUCUUGUUUCUCAUGUAUUUUGAGUUUUUGUAUAUUAUUAAUUUCUUUUUAAGGUCUGUGUGGAAGUAGCAUAACAGUUGUUAUUUUGGAUUGAAGUUUUGUAUACUUUUGAAUUUAUUUUGAAUCUAAAUUGUAGUAAUUUGUAGCUCAAAAUAUUAUCAAAAUGUAUUAUUGGGCUCAAAAUAAUAUCAACCCAAUAAAACCGAUUAAACCGAUUGCAUAACCCGCAACCCGUCCAAACCGAUAACAAAAAUGGGCGAAAAUGGGCUUAUAUGGCUUAACCGUGGGUUGGAUGGGUGAGGCUUUUGGGUCGAAACCGCCCAAUCCGACCCGUUAUCCCGCCCUAAAUGAAGUUAUUCAAAUAGCCAUUACUUAAAAUAAAUUUUCAGAGGAAGUAAGGACAAAAAUCAUAUUUAUUAUAUUUACGAUGAUAAGAAAACAUUUAACCCAAAAUUAAAAUAUUAAUUCGAUAAAGUAAAAUAAUAAGAAAAAGGAAAGUAAAUGAUUUAUUGGAGCAGCCAGCAACAGCAACCGUGAAGAGAGUCAGCAAUAAUCUACGAACAAAGAAAAAAACUAACAAACAGGAAGCAAAAGAAGAAAGAAAGAAGUGCCAGAAAAAGAAAAGCAAAUCAAAAGAAGAAGCUAACACCACUCGUCCAUCUUCCAUAGAAAGUGAAAUUAUUUGGUGUUUUGUGAAUCAAUCUUUCAUCAAAGUUUUGUUUCUUUAGUUAUCCUCCUCCUCCUCCACAUGGGUCGCUUAUUUUCUUCUCAUCAUUCUAACCUUCUUUACAUUAUCUUUCCUCUCAGGUAAACUUCACAAACUCUCUAUUUUAUUUUCAAAAUUUGCACUUUAGUCUCUAAAUUUUAACUAUUUUCCAUUUUGGUCCUUCACUCUUUCAGAGGUAAAGUCAACAUCGUUCAAGAUUGUAAACAAGUGCCGUCACACAAUAUGGCCAGGAUUACUCUCAGGCGCCACCUCGCCGCCGCUACCACUACCGGAUUCACCCUCAAGAGCGGAGAGUCAAGGACUGUCAACAUCCGAAAUCUUGGUCGGGUCGGUUAUGGGCACGGACUCUCUGCGGCCGUGGCUCCGACGGGAAAUUCUCGUGUGUCACCGCUGACUGUGGCUCUGGUAAAGUAGAGUGGCUGGCGGUGGGCUAAGCCGCCGGCAUCUUGGCGGAGUUCACUUGAACGGAGCCGACGGGUUGGAUUUCUACGACGUAAGUUUGGUCGACGGUUAUAAUCUUCCGAUGCUGGUUGUGGCUAAAGGCGGACUAAGGGAGGAUGCAGCCCCACCGGAUGUCUUGUUGAUCUUAACGGAGGUUGCCCGGGGAUCUUAAGGUGGCGCGUGGUGAUGGAAGUGGCGAUAACGUUGCGUGUAGAAGCGCGUGUGAAGCUUUUGCGGAUCCUCGUUAUUGUUGUAGUGAGGCGUACUCUACGCCUGACACGUGUGCUCCUUCUGUAUACUCGCAGUUUUUUAAGCAUGCAUGCCCACGCUCAUAUAGCUACGCGUUGAUGAUAGACUAGCACAUUCACGUGUGCCUCCGCUUCAAAGCAUAUAUAUAUAUAUAUAUAUAUAUAUAUAUAUGAUGAAGGAGCAAAGAGUAAUUGUACCUAGUAUAAGGUAAGGGGCAAAAUAUGAUCAUAUAGUUAGCGGAGGCACACGUGAAUGUGCUAGUCUUAUCAUCAUACGCGUAGCUAUAUGAGCGUGGGCAUGCAUGCUUAAAAAACUG
This 7605-nucleotide long non-coding RNA is filed under the name Lathyrus oleraceus (garden pea). RNAcentral describes it as "Pisum sativum (pea) long non-coding RNA (PSAT_LNC030696)". Lineage: Eukaryota; Viridiplantae; Streptophyta; Magnoliopsida; Fabales; Fabaceae. The record is from RNAcentral.